UCCCCCAGUAGCGGCGAGCGAAAAGGGAUGAGCCCAGCGCUGAAUCCCAUCCCCUCCGGGGGGUCGGGAAAUGUAGCGUUUAGGAGUGAGCGUACCGGUGGUUGCCUGGGCAGCAAGUCCCCCUGACCGGGGCUGUUACCCAGAGUGGGUGCGAGGCCCAUAGCGGCCUGGGCUUCCGCCGGAUGCGAUCUCCUUGGAGUCGGGUUGCUUGGGAGUGCAACCCUAAGUGGGUGGUAAACUCCACCUAAGGCUAAAUACCCCCGUGAGACCGAUAGCAAACAAGUACCGUGAGGGAAAGUUGCAAAGAACUUUGAAGAGAGAGUUCAAGAGUACGUGAAACCGUUUAGAGGUAAACUGGUGGGCCCUCGAAAUCCAGUGUCGGGAGGAUUCAGUUGRGCGGCUGCGGACAGGUCGCUUGGUGUUAAAAAAUUAAGGGUACCCGUGACGGGACCGACCUUGUGACUUGCUUCUGUGCUGCCCGACGCAUUUCUUUCCCGGCCGAAGGACGCCGCAACCGGUUGGGUGACGGCCUUAAGGACGGUACCGGGAAGGUGGCCGGUGGACCUCUCCUUGCGGGAGGAUCGCCGGAUGCUAGCCCUUCCGUCGCACGGCACGUUGCCCGACCGUGGUAUCAAGAGGCCCCUUGUGUGGCUCUCAUCGCCUCCUCCUGAACCUAUGUUUGGGAAGCUCGGCAAGGAAGACGGCAGCGGUUCCCCCACUGGCGGCCACACGGAAGGAUCCGUGGGCCAGCCGGCGGCGCUAGGGUCCGUGUUGGCUGUCUCGAGUCCGUUGGAGGUGGCG
This 801-nucleotide ribosomal RNA is filed under the name Physoglenes sp. LB-2014a. RNAcentral's name for it is "eukaryotic LSU rRNA". It matches the Rfam family "Eukaryotic large subunit ribosomal RNA", at positions 76 to 511 of the family's 3401-position model. The record is from RNAcentral. Lineage: Eukaryota; Metazoa; Arthropoda; Arachnida; Araneae; Synotaxidae.